CGUACACUCCUGCGGGAGGCAGCAGUGGGGAAUAUUGGACAAUGGGCGCAAGCCUGAUCCAGCCAUGCCGCGUGAGUGAUGAAGGCCCUAGGGUUGUAAAGCUCUUUCACCGGUGAAGAUAAUGACGGUAACCGGAGAAGAAGCCCCGGCUAACUUCGUGCCAGCAGCCGCGGUAAUACGAAGGGGGCUAGCGUUGUUCGGAUUUACUGGGCGUAAAGCGCACGUAGGCGGACUAUUAAGUCAGGGGUGAAAUCCCGGGGCUCAACCCCGGAACUGCCUUUGAUACUGGUAGUCUUGAGUUCGAGAGAGGUGAGUGGAAUUCCGAGUGCAGAGGUGAAAUUCGUAGAUAUUCGGAGGAACACCAGUGGCGAAGGCGGCUCACUGGCUCGAUACUGACGCUGAGGUGCGAAAGCGUGGGGAGCAAACAGGAUUAGAAACCCCAGUAGUCCCAUG
RNAcentral lists this ribosomal RNA (453 nucleotides) under uncultured organism. Its description in RNAcentral is "partial 16S ribosomal RNA". It matches the Rfam family "Bacterial small subunit ribosomal RNA", at positions 330 to 799 of the family's 1533-position model. The record is from RNAcentral.